CCUACGGGAGGCAGCAGUGGGGAAUAUUGGGCAAUGGAGGCAACUCUGACCCAGCAACGCCGCGUGCAUGAUGACGGUCUUCGGAUUGUAAAGUUCUUUUCGAAGGGAAGAAGACAGUGACGGUACCUUAGGAAUAAGCCUCGGCUAACUACGUGCCAGCAGCCGCUGUAAUACGGAGGAGGCAAGCGUUAUCCGGAAUGAAUGGGGGUAAAGGGUGCGUAGGUGGUUUGACAAGUUGGUGGUGAAACUCCGGGGCUCAACUUCGGAACUACUACCAAUACUGUUGGACUAGAGUGCAGGUGCGGUAAGUGGAAUGUAUGGUGUAGCGGUGGAAUGCUUAGAGAUUAGACAGAACACCGGUGGCGAAGGCGAGUUGC
RNAcentral lists this ribosomal RNA (377 nucleotides) under uncultured bacterium. Its description in RNAcentral is "partial 16S ribosomal RNA". It matches the Rfam family "Bacterial small subunit ribosomal RNA", at positions 338 to 729 of the family's 1533-position model. The record is from RNAcentral.